GGUGGCUCAGUGGUAGAGUGCUUGCUUCCCAUGCAUUAGGCCCUGGGUUCGAUUCCUCAGCACCA
This 65-nucleotide transfer RNA is filed under the name Dipodomys ordii (Ord's kangaroo rat). It matches the Rfam family "tRNA". From Rfam's summary of the family: Transfer RNA (tRNA) molecules are approximately 80 nucleotides in length. Their secondary structure includes four short double-helical elements and three loops (D, anti-codon, and T loops). Lineage: Eukaryota; Metazoa; Chordata; Mammalia; Rodentia; Heteromyidae. The record is from Rfam by way of RNAcentral.